GGGUUGUGAGGUUAAGCGACUAAGCGUACACGGUGGAUGCCCUGGCAGUCAGAGGCGAUGAAGGACGUGCUAAUCUGCGAUAAGCGUCGGUGAGGUGAUAUGAACCGUUAUAACCGGCGAUUUCCGAAUGGGGAAACCCAGUGUGUUUCGACACACUAUCAUUAACUGAAUCCAUAGGUUAAUGAGGCGAACCGGGGGAACUGAAACAUCUAAGUACCCCGAGGAAAAGAAAUCAACCGAGAUUCCCCCAGUAGCGGCGAGCGAACGGGGAGGAGCCCAGAGCCUGAAUCAGUGUGUGUGUUAGUGGAAGCGUCUGGAAAGGCGCGCGAUACAGGGUGACAGCCCCGUACACAAAAAUGCACAUGCUGUGAGCUCGAUGAGUAGGGCGGGACACGUGGUAUCCUGUCUGAAUAUGGGGGGACCAUCCUCCAAGGCUAAAUACUCCUGACUGACCGAUAGUGAACCAGUACCGUGAGGGAAAGGCGAAAAGAACCCCGGCGAGGGGAGUGAAAAAGAACCUGAAACCGUGUACGUACAAGCAGUGGGAGCCUCUUUAUGGGGUGACUGCGUACCUUUUGUAUAAUGGGUCAGCGACUUAUAUUCUGUAGCAAGGUUAACCGAAUAGGGGAGCCGAAGGGAAACCGAGUCUUAACUGGGCGUUAAGUUGCAGGGUAUAGACCCGAAACCCGGUGAUCUAGCCAUGGGCAGGUUGAAGGUUGGGUAACACUAACUGGAGGACCGAACCGACUAAUGUUGAAAAAUUAGCGGAUGACUUGUGGCUGGGGUGAAAGGCCAAUCAAACCGGGAGAUAGCUGGUUCUCCCCGAAAGCUAUUUAGGUAGCGCCUCGUGAAUUCAUCUCCGGGGUAGAGCACUGUUUCGGCAAGGGGGUCAUCCCGACUUACCAACCCGAUGCAAACUGCGAAUACCGGAGAAUGUUAUCACGGGAGACACACGGCGGGUGCUAACGUCCGUCGUGAAGAGGGAAACAACCCAGACCGCCAGCUAAGGUCCCAAAGUCAUGGUUAAGUGGGAAACGAUGUGGGAAGGCCCAGACAGCCAGGAUGUUGGCUUAGAAGCAGCCAUCAUUUAAAGAAAGCGUAAUAGCUCACUGGUCGAGUCGGCCUGCGCGGAAGAUGUAACGGGGCUAAACCAUGCACCGAAGCUGCGGCAGCGACGCUUAUGCGUUGUUGGGUAGGGGAGCGUUCUGUAAGCCUGUGAAGGUGUGCUGUGAGGCAUGCUGGAGGUAUCAGAAGUGCGAAUGCUGACAUAAGUAACGAUAAAGCGGGUGAAAAGCCCGCUCGCCGGAAGACCAAGGGUUCCUGUCCAACGUUAAUCGGGGCAGGGUGAGUCGACCCCUAAGGCGAGGCCGAAAGGCGUAGUCGAUGGGAAACAGGUUAAUAUUCCUGUACUUGGUGUUACUGCGAAGGGGGGACGGAGAAGGCUAUGUUGGCCGGGCGACGGUUGUCCCGGUUUAAGCGUGUAGGCUGAUUUUCCAGGCAAAUCCGGAAAAUCAAGGCUGAGGCGUGAUGACGAGGCACUACGGUGCUGAAGCAACAAAUGCCCUGCUUCCAGGAAAAGCCUCUAAGCAUCAGGUAACAUCAAAUCGUACCCCAAACCGACACAGGUGGUCAGGUAGAGAAUACCAAGGCGCUUGAGAGAACUCGGGUGAAGGAACUAGGCAAAAUGGUGCCGUAACUUCGGGAGAAGGCACGCUGAUAUGUAGGUGAAGUCCCUCGCGGAUGGAGCUGAAAUCAGUCGAAGAUACCAGCUGGCUGCAACUGUUUAUUAAAAACACAGCACUGUGCAAACACGAAAGUGGACGUAUACGGUGUGACGCCUGCCCGGUGCCGGAAGGUUAAUUGAUGGGGUUAGCGGCAACGCGAAGCUCUUGAUCGAAGCCCCGGUAAACGGCGGCCGUAACUAUAACGGUCCUAAGGUAGCGAAAUUCCUUGUCGGGUAAGUUCCGACCUGCACGAAUGGCGUAAUGAUGGCCAGGCUGUCUCCACCCGAGACUCAGUGAAAUUGAACUCGCUGUGAAGAUGCAGUGUACCCGCGGCAAGACGGAAAGACCCCGUGAACCUUUACUAUAGCUUGACACUGAACAUUGAGCCUUGAUGUGUAGGAUAGGUGGGAGGCUUUGAAGUGUGGACGCCAGUCUGCAUGGAGCCGACCUUGAAAUACCACCCUUUAAUGUUUGAUGUUCUAACGUGGGCCCCUAAUCGGGGUUGCGGACAGUGUCUGGUGGGUAGUUUGACUGGGGCGGUCUCCUCCUAAAGAGUAACGGAGGAGCACGAAGGUUGGCUAAUCCUGGUCGGACAUCAGGAGGUUAGUGCAAUGGCAUAAGCCAGCUUGACUGCGAGCGUGACGGCGCGAGCAGGUGCGAAAGCAGGUCAUAGUGAUCCGGUGGUUCUGAAUGGAAGGGCCAUCGCUCAACGGAUAAAAGGUACUCCGGGGAUAACAGGCUGAUACCGCCCAAGAGUUCAUAUCGACGGCGGUGUUUGGCACCUCGAUGUCGGCUCAUCACAUCCUGGGGCUGAAGUAGGUCCCAAGGGUAUGGCUGUUCGCCAUUUAAAGUGGUACGCGAGCUGGGUUUAGAACGUCGUGAGACAGUUCGGUCCCUAUCUGCCGUGGGCGCUGGAGAACUGAGGGGGCUGCUCCUAGUACGAGAGGACCGGAGUGGACGCAUCACUGGUGUUCGGGUUGUCAUGCCAAUGGCACUGCCCGGUAGCUAAAUGCGGAAGAGAUAAGUGCUGAAAGCAUCUAAGCACGAAACUUGCCCCGAGAUGAGUUCUCCCUGAGACUUAGAGUCUCCUGAAGGAACGUUGAAGACGACGACGUUGAUAGGCCGGGUGUGUAAGCGCAGCGAUGCGUUGAGCUAACCGGUACUAAUGAACCGUGAGGCUUAACCUUACAACGCCGAAG
This 2923-nucleotide ribosomal RNA is filed under the name Escherichia coli. RNAcentral's name for it is "bacterial LSU rRNA". It matches the Rfam family "Bacterial large subunit ribosomal RNA". The record is from RNAcentral. Lineage: Bacteria; Pseudomonadati; Pseudomonadota; Gammaproteobacteria; Enterobacterales; Enterobacteriaceae.